UGGAAUGAUGAUUUUUGGACUAGAGUCUCUGAGAAAAAAAAAACAUGAAGUUGUUUUCACAGUUCACUGACCA
Molecule: small nucleolar RNA, 73 nt
Filed under: Fundulus heteroclitus (mummichog)
Lineage: Eukaryota; Metazoa; Chordata; Actinopteri; Cyprinodontiformes; Fundulidae
Description: Small nucleolar RNA SNORD52 (ENSFHEG00000000742.1)
Source: RNAcentral